UCAUUUUGUCGUUACAGAUUUAGUUAUCGGGGCCACAUGUUGCGGGUAGAGUCGUUGUGGUUGCUGAGAAAGCGGUUUGGAGCUGAGCUUGCGGCUGCCGCAGUUGCGGGCCGAGCGAAAGUGAGUUGUGAUGCGUUUUAGAGCUUUCGAGUUUCGACACUCGAGAAUUUCUCUUUUGAGGU
Arachis ipaensis is the source of this 182-nucleotide non-coding RNA. Lineage: Eukaryota; Viridiplantae; Streptophyta; Magnoliopsida; Fabales; Fabaceae. The record is from RefSeq and is a predicted model, not a curated record.